This 351-nucleotide long non-coding RNA is filed under the name Elaeis guineensis (African oil palm). Its description in RNAcentral is "long non-coding RNA (EGUI_LNC023944)". The record is from RNAcentral. Lineage: Eukaryota; Viridiplantae; Streptophyta; Magnoliopsida; Arecales; Arecaceae.
GUGCGCAUAGCAGGAAGUGAGGAGGGAGGGGUGGCAGCGCCCUUUUUUUUGUAUUUUUUGUUGAUGAACAUAGUAAUAGUCUUUUCUCAAAUGUCAUGCUCACAUUUAGCUAAUCAAUUAGUAAAUGUCAUUUGGAUCAUAACAAUUAAUUUGUAAUAAUCAAUAAUGGUAACAGAUGGGUUUGUCAUCUCAAAGAUAUCGACAUUAUUGAAACCAAAAUAUAAAUUCUUUCCCGUUCCUGCAAAUUGGCAAGAUUCAUCUGCAUUAAUGCUUAACAAAAAGAACCCCUCCCAUUCUCCGCGUCAUGAGCAAAAUGUCCAUCACGACCCUCCAAUUCAUUUCACCCACCCA